CUGGAGAUGAUGCAUCAUAUUAUUUAACUGACUCUCAUUGAUGGUCUUUGUAUUCAUACUGUCUGAUCCAG
Small nucleolar RNA from Nerophis lumbriciformis (worm pipefish), 71 nucleotides. The record is from RefSeq and is a predicted model, not a curated record. NCBI's taxonomy places the organism in Eukaryota, Metazoa, Chordata, Actinopteri, Syngnathiformes, Syngnathidae.